AUACGUAGGGCGCAAGCGUUGUCCGGAAUUACUGGGCGUAAAGGGCGCGUAGGUGGACAUUUAAGUCAGAUGUGAAAACUCUGGGCUCAACUUGGAGAUUGCAUUUGAAACUGGACGUCUUGAGGGUAGGAGAGGAAAGUGGAAUUCCUAGUGUAGCGGUGAAAUGCGUAGAUAUUAGGAGGAACACCAGUGGCGAAGGCGCGUUUCUGGACUAUACCUGACAGUGAGGCGCGAAAGAGGGGGGAGAGAACGGGAUUAUAUACCCGGGUGUUCCACGCCGUAAACGAUGGAUACUAGGUGUAGGGGGUAUCGACCCCUUCUGUGCCGCAGCUAACGCAAUAAGUAUCCCGCCUGGGGACUACGGUCGCAAGACUAAAACUCAAAUGAAUUGACGGGG
Molecule: ribosomal RNA, 397 nt
Filed under: uncultured bacterium
Lineage: Bacteria
Description: partial 16S ribosomal RNA
Rfam family: Bacterial small subunit ribosomal RNA
Source: RNAcentral